RNAcentral lists this unclassified non-coding RNA (269 nucleotides) under Clavatospora longibrachiata. RNAcentral describes it as "partial internal transcribed spacer region". The stretch from base 1 to 46 matches the Rfam family "Eukaryotic small subunit ribosomal RNA", at positions 1786 to 1831 of the family's 1831-position model. The record is from RNAcentral. Lineage: Eukaryota; Fungi; Ascomycota; Sordariomycetes; Microascales; Halosphaeriaceae.
AAGUCGUAACAAGGUUUCCGUAGGUGAACCUGCGGAAGGAUCAUUACCGAGAUAAUUCUUUUUUCUUUUUUGAAUCAAGAAUCUCCCACCCAAUGUGUUACCAAUUUUAUUGAUACUUUGGUGAAGCGUUUGCUUUCACAAGUGAACCAUCGACUUGAAAGAGUGGAUGUGUCUUUGCCAAAGGAACCCCUUAACUCUUUUUAUUUAAUAAUUGUCUGAGUUUAUAUUUUAAAUAAACAAAACUUUCAACAACGGAUCUCUUGGUUCUG